RNAcentral lists this ribosomal RNA (364 nucleotides) under Liriope tetraphylla. RNAcentral describes it as "SSU rRNA". It matches the Rfam family "Eukaryotic small subunit ribosomal RNA", at positions 51 to 414 of the family's 1831-position model. The record is from RNAcentral. Lineage: Eukaryota; Metazoa; Cnidaria; Hydrozoa; Limnomedusae; Geryoniidae.
AUGCAUGUCUAAGUAUAAGCACUUGUACUGUGAAACUGCGAAUGGCUCAUUAAAUCAGUUAUCGUUUAUUUGAUUGUACAUUUACUACAUGGAUACCUGUGGUAAUUCUAGAGCUAAUACAUGCGAAAAGUCCCGACUUCUGGAAGGGAUGUAUUUAUUAGAUUAAAAACCAAUACGGGUCAAACCGUUCUAUUGGUGAUUCAUGAUAACUUAUCGAAUCGCAUGGCCUUGCGCCGGCGAUGUUUCAUUCAAAUUUCUGCCCUAUCAACUGUCGAUGGUAAGGUAGUGGCUUACCAUGGUCGUAACGGGUGACGGAGAAUUAGGGUUCGAUUCCGGAGAGGGAGCCUGAGAAACGGCUACCACA